UAGUGGUUGGCAGUUACCAAAGUUCAUCUGAAGAAGCUCGCAUGAAGGAGCACUUGCUUCAUGGAGUUCAGUUAUUGUUUGUAGCUGUUUGAUGGUGGAUUCCUAAGCAGCUGAGCUCAACUGCUGCUCUACCAAGAUAUUAAGACAUGUUGUUCUAGCUAUGCUAUAUCUAACUAUUGUAACUGUAUACUGUGAUUGGGGGUGUACUGUCAGUGUCAUGACAUUGCUAUUCAUCUGUGUCAGUGAGCUAGAAAUACUUGGAGUUCAGUUAUUGUUGAACCAGUGCAGUUUAUCUGCACUGUCAACUCUUGUCACAUUUCAUGAACUUUGGUGAUUCAGAGCCAUUGUGAACUUUGGUCACUUGUGAAUUCUCAGAGUGAUUCAGAGCCAUUGUGAACGACUUUGGCCAAGCCAAUCAGGAUUACUGUAGGAUGUGAGCAACCCUGUGGUGUAUACAAACAAUGUCAGAUUUGGCACACUGCGGUGUAUACAACUAAAAAAAUCAGAAUCUGUUCUAAAACAAGGAUGCCAUUUGUCACAAAACCAAAUUGCUCGAAUAUACCUCAAAAUACAAGCAUAAAACAGUGCUUGAAGCAACUUUCACACGAAAUACAAGCAUAAGUGAUUAAACACUCAUAUACCUCAAACAAUUUAUGCAAAAACCAAACUGCUCUUAAACUGCUCUUAAUAUGUUGAUCAGUCAGUGAUUUACUGCCAUGCUGUGGUGUUGUUGUACCGGCUGCCACCUAGGAGGAUGGUGCGACACUGCCAGAGUGUCCUGAAUGUGGGAUUUGGCCGUACAGGUGACCUUCCUCCCUUGUGAAUGGCGUACAACUCUUGUCGCGGCUUGAUUUUGCCUGCUUCUGCGAGCAUGGAAUCUCAUGUUAUGACCGUGCACGUAUGUACCUGUUUGGUUCGUGAAAAGUGGAGGCGACAACACACAUGCGUACUUUGAUUUGGUGGUGCUUUUCAAAUACAUGGUAGCUCCGUGGAGAAACCUAGGCCGACCCUAGUUAGUCAUAUCGGACAUUGUUUGGAGCUUGUUCAGACAUGAUCUCUAGAGUGAAAGCCCACGAUCUGGCCUUCAGUGGCCGGCGACGACGAGGCUUACACGUAGUGCCCUUUGUCCAAUUCAAAUAGCUAGUGGAUUAAUUCAAAGUCUCAAAAUAAAUAUUUCUAAGCCUCCAAAAAUAUUGGCUUGAAUUUUACCUCUUGCCAGUAUUUUCAAGGUUUAACAGGAACAUUUUCUUGGGCUCAUUUGAAGAGAUUUUUUUUAAUGAUUUAUGAGGCUUUGGAAAUUCCCACAAUUCAAUUUCCUUCGAAUUUAACAUGAUGCAUGAUGAUUAUGCAAUGAUAAGUAAUGACUAAGCUAGGGUUGCGACAUCUGAAGGUGUUGUCAAGAUAUGGUUGGUGCCCAUGGACGUUGAUGCAUUUCGUCGUUCGCUAUUUUGGUCGAUUCAGUUUUCUUCUAUUCUCUUUUCUCUUAUGUUCAUGUUAAACUAUUUUGAUCUCUGUAUAGUUUUGGUUUUGUAUGACAUUGCUCUUUGCGGGCGUGAUUCUUUUUAUCUGUAUGUUGAUUAUUUGCGUAUUAGUUAUACAGAGGCCGGGUGUACAAUCAACUUGAUGCUUUAUUAUGAGUUAAUAAAACUGCUCCACACAGAACAAACUUUGGGUGAUCUGUCACGACUAGAUGUUGACAAGAUUCAUUCGUUGGAUUUAAUCCUUGUCCCCAAAUCGUUCAAAUAUUAUUGUCGGCGUACUACAUCCGUCUCGGUGAAUAAGGCACUCGCGUAGUUUUAGGUCGACGAUUUAACUAUCUAAAUAUGUAUUAUAUGUGACAAAAAAUAUAUAUUUAGAAACUACAUCCGUGUAGAAAUCUAGUGAUAUAUUUUUCAUGACAUAUUGUUGGAAAUAUGCCCUAGAGGCAAUAAUAAAUUAGUUAUUAUUAUAUUUCCUUGUUCACGAUAAUCGUUUAUUAUCCAUGCUAUAAUUAUAUUGAUAGGAAACUCAGAUACAUGUGUGGGUACAUAGACAACACCAUGUCCCUAGUAAGCCUCUAGUUGACUAGCUCCUUGAUCAAUAGAUGAUUACGGUUUCCUAACCAUGGACAUUGGAUGUCGUUGAUAACCGGAAUCACAUCAUUAGCAGAAUGAUGUGAUGGACAAGACCCAAUCCUAAGCCUAGCACAAAGAUCGUAGUUCGUAUGCUAAAGCUUUUCUAAUGUCAAGUAUCAUUUCCUUAGACCAUGAGAUUGUGCAACUCCCGGAUACCGUAGGAAUGCUUUGGGUGUACCAAACGUCACAACGUAACUGGGUGGCUAUAAAGGUGCACUACAGGUAUCUCCGAAAUUGUCUGUUGGGCUGGCACGAAUCGAGACUGGGAUUUGUCACUCCAUGUAAACGGAGAGGUAUCUCUGGGCCCACUCGGUAGGACAUCAUCAUAAUGUGCACAAUGUGACCAAGGGGUUGAUCACGAGAUGAUGUGUUACGGAACGAGUAAAGAGACUUGCCGGUAACGAGAUUGAACAAGGUAUCGGUAUACCGACGAUCGAAUCUCGGGCAAGUAUAAUACCGCUAGACAAAGGGAAUUGUAUACGGGAUUGAUUGAGUCCUUGACAUCGUGGUUCAUCCGAUGAGAUCAUCAUGGAACAUGUGGGAGCCAACAUGGGUAUCCAGAUCCCGCUGUUGGUUAUUGACCGGAGAACGUCUCGGUCAUGUCUGCAUGGUUCCCGAACCCGUAUGGUCUACACACUUAAGGUUCGACGAUGCUAGGGUUAUAAAGGAAGUUUGUAUGUGGUUACCGAAUGUUGUUCGGAGUCCCGGAUGAGAUCCCGGACGUCACGAGGAGUUCCAGAAUGGUCCGGAGGUAAAGAUUUAUAUAUGUGAAGUCCUGUUUUGGUCACCGGAAAAGUUUCGGGUUUUAUCGGUAACGUACCGGGACCACCGGGAGGGUCCCAGGGGUCCACCAAGUGGGGCCAUCGGCCCGGGAGGGCUGCAUGGGCCAAGUGUGGGAGGGGACCAGCCCCAUGUGGGCUGGUGCGCCCCCCCACAAGGGCCCAAGGCAUCCUAGGGUUUGGGGAGGGGGUGCUUCCACCUAACUUGGGGGGGGGGGGGCAAGUUUCCCCCCUCUCCCCCCUUGGCCGCCACCCUUAGAUGGGAUUGGGGCUGCCGCACCCCUUGGGGUGGAAACCCUAGAGGGGGCGCACCCCCUUCCCUCUCCCCUAUAUAUACUUGAGGGUUUUGGGGCUGCCAACACAUGAGUUUUGACCUCUCCCUGGCGCAGCCCUACCUCUCUCCCUUUUCCUCUCCCGCGGUGCUUGGCGAAGCUCUGCAGGAUUGCCACGCUCCUCCACCACCACCACACCGUUAUGCUGCUGCUGGACGGAGUCUUCCUCAACCUCUCCCUCCCUCCUUGCUGGAUCAAGGUGUGGGAGACGUCAUCGGGCUGUACGUGUGUUGAACGCGGAGGUGCCGUCCGUUCGGCACUAGGAUCUCCGGUGAUUUGAAUCACGACGAGUAUGACUCCUUCAACCGCGUUCUCAUGAACGCUUCCGCUUAGCGAUCUACAAGGGUAUGUAGAUGCACUCUCCUUCCCCUCGUUGCUGGUUUCUCCAUAGAUAGAUCUUGGUGACACGUAGGAAAUUUUUGAAUUUCUGCUACGUUCCCCAACAGUGGCAUCAUGAGCUAGGUCUAUUGCGUAGAUUCUUUGCACGAGUAGAACACAAAGUAGUUGUGGGCGUUGAUUUUGUUCAAUAUGCUUACCGUUACUAGUCCAAUCUUGUUUCGGCGGUAUUGUGGGAUGAAGCGGCCCGGACCGACCUUACACGUACACUUACGUGAGACAGGUUCCACCGACUGACAUGCACUUGGUGCAUAAGGUGGCUAGCGGGUGCCAGUCUCUCCCACUUUAGUCGGAACGGAUUUGAUGAAAAGGGUCCUUAUGAAGGGUAAAUAACAAUUGACAUAUCACGUUGUGGUUUUUUGCGUAGGUAAGAAACGUUCUUGCUAGAAACCCAUAGCAGCCACGUAAAAUAUGCAAACAACAAUUAGAGGACGUCUAACUUGUUUUUGCAGGGUAUGCUAUGUGAUGUGAUAUGGCCAAAAGAAUGUGAUGAAUGAUAUAUGUGAUGUAUGAGAUUGAUCAUGUUAUUGUAAUAGGAAUCACGACUUGCAUGUCGAUGAGUAUGACAACCGGCAGGAGCCAUAGGAGUUGUCUUAAUUUAUUGUAUGACCUGCGUGUCAUUGAACAACGCCAUGUAAUUACUUUACUUUAUUGCUAACCGGUAGCCAUUGUAGUAGAAGUAAUAGUUGGCGAGACAACUUCAUGAAGACACGAUGAUGGAGAUCAUGAUGAUGGAGAUCAGGGUGUCAUGCCGGUGACGAUGAUGAUCAUGGAGCCCCGAAGAUGGAGAUCAAAAGGAGCAAAAUGAUAUUGGUCAUAUCAUGUCACUAUUUGAUUGCAUGUGAUGUUUAUCAUGUUUAGGCAUCUUGUUUGCUUAGAACGACGGUAGUAAAUAAGAUGAUCCCUUAUUAAAAUUUCAAGAAAGUGUUCCCCCUAACUGUGCACCGUUGCGAAAGUUCGUCGUUUCUAAGCACCACGUGAUGAUCGGGUGUGAUGGAUUCUUACGUUCACAUACAACGGGUGUAAGCUAGAUUUACACACGCGAAACACUUAGGUUGACUUGACGAGCCUAGCAUGUACAGACAUGGCCUCGGAACACAAGAGACCGAAAGGUCGAGCAUGAGUCGUAUAGUAGAUACGAUCAACAUGAAGAUGUUCACCGAUGAUGACUAGUCCGUCUCACGUGAUGAUCGGACACGGCCUAGUUGACUCGGAUCAUGUAAUCACUUAGAUGACUAGAGAGAUGUCUAUCUGAGUGGGAGUUCAUAAGAUGAACUUAAUUAUCCUGAACAUAGUCAAAUGAUCUUUGCAAAUUAUGUCGUAAGCUCGCGCUUUAGUUCCACUGUUUAGAUAUAUUCCUAGAGAAAAUAUAGUUGAAAGUUGAUAGUAGCGAUUAUGCGAUCAAUAGAAAGCUUAUGUCCUUAAUGCACCGCUCAGUGUGCUGAACCCCAAACGUCAUUUGUCGAUGUUGCGAACAUCGGACAUACACGUUUUGAUAACUACGUGAUAGUUCAGUUAAAUGGUUUAAGUAGAGGCACCAAAGGCGUUUUUUCGAAACGUCGCGGAACAUAUGAGAUGUUUCGAGGGCUGAAAUUGGGAUUUCAGGCUCGUGCCCACGUCAAGAGGUAUAAGACCUCCGACGAUUUUCUUAGCCUGCAAACUAAGGGAGAAAAGCUCAAUCGUUGAGCUUGUGCUCAGAUUGUCUGAAGUGCAACAAUCUCUUGAAUUGAGUGGGAGCUGAUCUUCCAGAUGAGAUAGUGAUGUUUCUCCAAAGUCAUUGCUACAAGCUGCUAGAGCUUCGUGAUGAACUAUAACAUAUCAGGGAUAGAUAUGAUGAUCCUUGAGGUAUUCGCGAUGUUUGACACCGCGAAAGUAGAAAUCAAGAAGGAGCAUCAAUUGUUGAUGGUUGGUGAAACCACUAGUUUCAAGAAGGGCAAGGGCAAGAAGGGAUACUUCCUGAAACGGCAAAUCAGCUGCUGCUCCAGUGAAGACACCCAAGGUUGAACCCAAACCCGAGACGAAGUGCUUCUGUAAUAAGGGGAACAGCCACUGGAGCGGAAUUACCCUAGAUACUUGGUAGAUGAGAAGGCUGGCAAGGUCGAUAGAAGUAUAUUGGAUAUAUAUUAUGUUAAUGUGUACUUUACUAGUACUCCUAGUAGCACCAGGGUAUUAGAUACCGGUUCGGUUGCUAAAUGUUAGUAACUCGAAAUAAAAGAGCUACGGAAUAAACGGAGACUAGCUAAAGGCGAGCUGACGAUAUGUGUUGGAAGUGUUUCCAAGUUUGAUGUGAUCAAACAUCACACGCUCCCUCUACCAUCAAGAUUAGUAUUAAACCUGAAUAAUUGUCAUUUGGUGUUUGCAUUGAGCAUAGACAUGAUUGGAUUAUGUCUAUCGCAAUACGGUUAUUCAUUUAAGGAGAAUAAUGGUUACUGUCACGCCCAAUAUGCGACCCUAUCCAAAAGGAACUCGAAGGUCCCACCAAGGAUAGACCCACAUAUUGAAACGCUUUUGCAAGGUGGAUAUCAUUACAUCAACAUUAUAUAAUAGAUGGGGAUACAUACAUAAGGCAUACAAUGCCACACGAAUACAACAAUAUAUCAUACACAAUAUCAACAUCCGUCUACGGAUAAAACACAAACAGAAGCUCAAACGACAUCCACCCUGCUAGCCCAGGCUGCCGACCUGGAACCUAUCCCUAAUCGAAGAAGGAGAAGAAGAACUCAACGCAAGCAAGCAUCGCUCUCGCGUCAUGAUCAUCGCAUAACCUGUACCUGCAACUGUUGUUGUAGUAAUCUGUGAGCCACGAGGACUCAACAAUCCCAUUACCAUGGGUAUCAAGACUAGCAAAGCUUAAUGGGAAAGAAAGGGGUAAAGUGGUGAGGCUGCAGCAGCGACUAAGCAUAUAUGGUGGCUAACAUACGCAAAUAAGAGUGAGAAGAGAACAAGCGAAACGGUCGUGAAGCUAGCAAUGAUCAAGAAGUGAUCCUGAACUCCUACUUACGUCAAUCAUAACCCGGAAACCGUGUUCACUUCCCGGACUCCGCCGAGAAGAGACCAUCACGGCUACACACACGGUUGAUGCGUUUUAAUUCGGAUCUGGUGUCAAGUUAUCUACAACUGGACAUUAACAAAUUCCCAUCUGCCUAUAACCGCAGGCACGGCUUUCGAAAGAUUAUACCCUGCAGGGGUGUCCCAACUUAGCCCAUGACAAGCUCUCGCGAUCAACGAAGGAAUAGACCUUCUCCCAGGAAGACCCGAUCAGACUCGGAAUCCCAGUUUACAAGACAUUUCGACAAUGGUAAAACAAGACCAGCAAAGCCUCCCGCUGUGCCGACAAAUCCCGAUAGGAGCUGCACAUAUCUCGUUCUCAGGGCACACCGGAUUGUCCAGACUUCCGGUAGGCCAGCCCAGAGUUGCCCCUGGUGGUCACCAGCGGCCGACAGUUUGGACCAACACUCACAACGAGCACUGGCCCGGGGGGGGGAUAAAAUAAAGAUGACCCUCGGGCUCCGGAAACCCAAGGGAAAAAGGGCUAGGUGAGGCAAAUGGUAAAACCAAUGUUGGGCCUUGUUGGAGGAUUUUUAUUCAAAGCGAACUGUCAAGGGGGUCCCAUAAAUCACCCGACCGCGUAGGGAACGCAAAAUUCGGGAACAUAACACCGGUAUGACGGAAACUAGGGCGGCAAGAGUGGAACAAAACACCAGGCAAAAGGCCGAGUCUUCCACCCUUUACCAAAUAUAUAGAUGCAUUAAUAAUAUAAAAGAUAUUGUGAUAUCCCAACCAAAAUCCUGUUCACCAUGGAGAAAUCUUCAACUUCACCUGCAACUAGCAACGCUAUAAGAGGGGCUGAGCAAAGCGGUAACAUAGCCAAACAACGGUUUGCAUAGGAAAGGUGUCAAAGGUUAGAGGUUCAUGGCAACAUGGGAUGGCUCGACAAACAGAUGAUAGGUAGCGCAGCAAAGCGAUAGAACGAAGCAACUAGCAUAGCAAUGAUAGUAGUGAGAUCCAGGGUAGCGGUCAUCUUGCCUGAAAUCCCGCAAGGAAGAAGAACGAGUCCAUGAAGUAGACGAACCAACAUAGUCGAACGAAUCCUCACGAACGCAAUGUUACCGGAACUAAGAAGCAACACCGGAAAGAAGCAAACAACAUGGUAAACACACCAGCAUAAUCAUGGCAUGAUGCACAAACAAGUAUGAUGCAUGUCCGGUUUAAUGAGGCAUGGCACGGCAAAGUGCAACAAACGAUACUACAAGUUAAGUGGAGCUCAAUAUGCAACGAGUUGCAUAUUAACAAAACACCACAUGGACAUAUUUAGUUUAAUCUCGGUUAUGCACCCAAUAAUAUUAAAUGUUGAUUAACAUGGCAAGAGGUGAAGCGUAUGAAAAACUACCUAUCUAGACAAGUUUAAAUGAGGCCGGAACAACAAAACAACAAUUCCGAAAAUCCCCAUGUGCAUAAAAUGAAUUUGGUACUGUUCUGUCCUGAACCACAUUUUAAGGUUGUUAAACAGGAAAAUAAAGUGGAUCAUGUUAAUCUAGGCAUUUUUCCACCCCAUUUACAUAUAAAGUUUAAUAAAUUCGGAGCUAUGGUUAUCUAGUUAUGAAUUAAAGCAUUUUAGCAUGGCAUAUUAGCAAAUUUAAAUAAGCAACAAGUUAACCAUUUUAAACAUGGGUGAAAAUGGCAUAUUAUUAAUCUACACAAUUUUCUGAGCAUCUUACAUAUAAAGUUUGUUUAAAUCCGAUGCAUGGUUAAUUAGUUAUUACAUGCAUGAGGUCUAGGGGGUUUUCUGUAAAACUGAUAAUGCACUGGAUAAUGUCUAAAAUCGCAGGCAGGGAAAAAAAAUACAUCGGGCCGAAACUGCAGCCUGGCCCAACAUGAGAAAAAAACAAAAGGAGGGGCGCUGGGGGUGGCCUCACCAUGGGCCAAGCCCGAUUGGAAACAGAGGGAGGCCGACUGGGCUUGGGGAGGAGGCUGGCGCGCUGGGCUGCGAAGGGGAGGGGCCGAGGCCCAUGUGGGGAGGUCGGGCCACGAGGCCGGCGGCGUGCUGGCGGGAGCUGGGCUGGGCCGGCUUGAGGCCCACGCGCACACGCGUGCACGAGCACGCGAGGCGACGAGCUCCUCGUUCCUGAACAGGGACGAGGCAGGGUGGCGGCGCAGAUGGCGCCGGCGGCGAGCAGGCUCGAGGGCGGCGGCGGGGCGGAUCCGGCAAGGGCGGGGCCGGCAGAGGCCGGAUCUGGCAGCGGCGGGUCCAUUCCCGGCGACGAACGGCGGCGGGGACGAGUCUUCCGGGCGGAGGCGGACCCGAGCUCGGGCGCGGCCAUGGCAGAGCUCCUGCGGAAGAGAAGGGGUCAGCGGGGGCGCAGGAGAAGUGGAGGAGGAGAAGGGAGAGAUGAGGAGGCAGGGCUCCGGCCUGGCAAAGCUUCGGCGGCGGCGGCGCGCUGCUCCGGCAGGACGAGGAGGCGCUGGGGCGACGAGGGCUCGGGGUCGAGGGGCUCCUCCCCUCGAUCCAGAUCGGGAGCGAGAGUCGUGGGGCGCUCGGGCCCUCACGGGCUGCGGCGGCGCGGCCUCUGGCCGGGCGGGCCCUGCGGCGCUGAGGGGGAGCGCGGGGAACAGGUCGGGCGGCGGCUGACCGCUCAGGACGUGCCACGUGGCGGAGGUGGGCUGGAGGGCGCCGGAUUUGGAGGGGGAAGGCGGCGGCGCGGCCCCCGAGGUGGGAGGAGGUGGUGGCUGCGGGUUGGGGGUGCGGAAAACGAGGAGGAGGGGGGGGGGUAGGCUGGCAAAAUUGGAAGGGGAAGGAGUAUAUAAAGGGUAGGGGCUAGGGUUUGAGGGUUUGGGGGCGUUUCGGGGCCUCAGAUCGACAUCGGACGGCUCCGGACAGAGGGGGGGACUAGGUGGGCUAGUGGGCUGUGUGAGAGAGAGGCUUGGGCCGAGAGGAGAGAAGAGAAGUGCAGCCCGGCGGCAGUUUCGGAGACCGAAACGUCCGACGAUUAAACCGACUAUAUCGCGGUUAUAAAUAUAACGGUUGGGCAGUCAAACGGACUCCGAAUGCGACGAAACUUGACAGGCGGCCUGUCUACACUAUAAUAAGACCGCACGACAAGUUGCAACCCAUUCCGAGAACAUUUUUAUGCCGCUUAUAAAAAUAAUAUUUCGGAGGUGCCGCGGGCGCGUGCGAGUGUGUCUGGACUCCGAACGGACAACGGAGAGAACCGGCGGGACCCGAACGGAUGCAAGUUUUAUGAAAACGAUGCCGAUGCAAUGCGCAUGAUGCUAUGAGAUGAGAUGCAUAACAAGAACAAAAUGCAAAACAACAGAGAAACAACCAACCACGGAGGAAAUAACAUAUAGCAUCUCCGGAAAAGGCAAGAGUUGGAGUUACGAAUAUGGAAAGUUGUAUCCGGGGCGUUACAAUACUCCACCACUACAAGAGGAUCUCGUCCCGAGAUCUAGGAUGGCACCGGAGGGAAACGGAAGAGGAAGAUAAGCGGUAAAAGUAAGUUGCUUCUUCGACCAAUGAGUGAAACCAUGAACCUUGAGAGGUUGAGCAACUAGAGAUGAACGAGAUUGCAAACAAUCCGUUAGAAAAGAGGAACAAGGGAUACGACGAGAACCAAGAGGUUGCAAAGAUAUGAUUGACGAGCACAAUGGACAAGAAGGAAUUGAAACCACUCUGGUUGCAACGAGAUAAGAAUGAAUAAGAAUGAUAUAAUUUUGGCAGCACUCCGACUGAACAUGGAAGGAAUAGAACAUGAACUUGAGAAGAUGGGAUGAUACUUGAUGAAAUCAACAACACACUGCCUCUGGAACUAUUGAAAUAAUGGCACAAUGGGUAAGAAGGAUUUCAGACAGCACUAAGGUUGAAAAGAGAGGCAAAACUUGAUAAGAUGAAAGCCUUGAAGAGAUGACACAACACUCCGGUUAACUGGAUAAGCACGAAAAGAACACGAUCCUCACAAUUCGAGAUGAUGAGUGAAGAGAGCAACAUCACAAAGCCUCCGGAACGAAAGAAUAGAAGCUAGAUUGUUGGGAUAACGGGCGGAGAAGAAAAUGAAAUCUUCUACCACAAAUGAACUUGGAAAGCAUCCUUGCAAAGAAGAAUUGAACAGAGUUGUUGGAAAAUCAACAACGAAAGACACAAGUUUGUAGUGGGCUUAUGGAAACAUCUCAACAGUUGAGGUGAAAUUCUGCCACUAACGAAAAACAAUUGCUUGUUUGAGAUCAAAGAAGAGAUGAAAACUUCUUUCACCGAGAAGGAUAUGGAGAAAGCUUGGAUCAAUGAUAAGCACCACAAUUAGCAACAUUCCCAAUGGAAGGCUUUAGGUGAAAUAUAACCCAAGAUAACUCCAACAAAGAGAUUGAUUGGUCGAAAAGAUAUCUUGAACGAAGAGAAAAUGAUGGAUUUAAUUAACUCAUUCCUGACAACUUGUGAACCACGAAGGGAAAUUGUCAAGAGUGACAUAACACCACCACAAAAGAUAUUGUAGAAACAAUUGCACUUUGGAAUGCAAGAUGAAGAAUACUUGAGCUCCUCAAAACAAAACAUGUGUUGAGCACCAUGUUUACUUUCGAGUAUAGCUUGGAGGAUCUUAACUUCAAGAGAAAUCUUGAAGAACAAUUGAAGAAUGAAAAGAAUCCUUGACGAACCAUCAUGUAGAGCCUCCAUGAAGAACUCCGGUAAUAAAAGGAUGAUAGAAAGAAAGAGAAGUUGGAAACACAAGGUGAAGCCUUGCGAUGAUUUAGAUGGAGCUUCGCGACGAGAUAGUUGAGAGAGCUUGGAACUCCGAAAAGAAAGAUGAAGCCUCUCGAACCGAGAAUGUGAUAUGAUGACCAACUCCGGAAAGAAAGAUGAAUCACUUGAACCAAGAAUUACUUCAUCAUGAACAAACUCCGGAAGAAAAGAAUUGAAUCACCUCGAGGAAAAUAAGAAUAAGAUUUAUUGUAUGCUUACCCUUCAUCAGAUUUAAUUGAUGACAAGCAACGGAUUUGGCAUACUACUUAUUCUUGUAGAAAGGAUGGAUUAAGAGAGAUAUAGCGCAAACUUGGGAAGGUCUUUAACGAGCCACCGGUAGGAUUGAAAAGAACGAAAGAACGAAUGAAUUGACACGAUAACGAAGGAAGAGAAAUCUGGAACGAACCACCGUAAGAAUUGAAAAUGAACAUAGCAAAGGCACAAUUCACCGGGAAGAAUUUGAAAAUGAAUGAUGAUACUUGAGGGGAUUCAGAUAAAUGAGAACGAAGAGAACAUGAACUGAUUAGAGGAUAUUUGAAUGAUGCACUGGUAAGAUUUGGAGAACGAGAGCUGAAAGCUUGAAUGAAUAAUUCUGAGAUGAUGGGCUACGGAGAAUCAUUCUGAAAAGACUCUUGAAUUGCUCCGGAUGGGUGAAAAGAAUUCUCACAAUCGAAAACAAAUAUGAGAGGAUGGCAAUAACGCUAGAACCAUGAAUCUUGAAGAGAAUGGAGCAAGAUUUAAGAGAAACUCUUCUUCGGUCUUCACAUGUUGAGAAUGAUGAUGAGAACCACCAUGAAUUGUUGAGAUACUCCGGAACAAAGAAGAAUAGAAAUGAUGAACCAACGAUGAAAAUAUUCUGAAAGCGAUCUUGGAUAAGGAAUAUGACUGAUGAAAAUUCAUUCUUACGUCAAACUCUGCAAUGAAUUUGAGAAUAACUCCGAAAAGAAAUUAGAAGAGUCAGGUAAGAUCCUGGGAAAAGACCUGUGGGUUAAGGCCCACUCAAAAGAACCAUCGUUGGAAAUGAUUUAAAGAGAUAUUACACCGGUUGAAUUAAAUGACUUGAAUGAGGUAAUAAUCUCGAAAUAUCUUGAACGGAUUGAGAAUGGAAACACAAGUCUUCUGAGAUAUCUUCAACACUCCGGAACAAAAGAAUAGCAAGAGGUGAGUGAUUGAUAGGUGCACCGGUAUGAGAAAGCAUUUGACACGAGGAAAGGAAUAUGAUCAACACUAAAAGCUUGAAUUGGAUCCACCGGAGAAGAAACAACAAUGGAGGAUGAUGAACUUGAAGCUCGUGAGCAUCUUCACGAGGGAUCACCGGAUCAAAACAAUGAUUGAAAAGAGUGAAGAGACUUCACAUGAAUAAAUGGAUACUUGAUUAUAAUAUAUGAGUCCUUGAAGAAAAGGGGUGGGAGGGUGGGGAAAAACAAAGACAACAUGGGAUGAACGAAACAAACACCGUUGAGAAAACUUAGAAUUGAUCUUGCGGAUGUUGAAAAAUGAUGGGAUCCACUUGAAGAGAAGCACGCCGAUUGGGAAAGAAUUAACAUGACGACCUCGAUGAUCAAGAAGGAUUAGUAUUCACAUAGCAAUAUGAGAACACCGUUUAUGAAAGGUAUGGAUUCAACCUUUGACUUCGAAGCAACUCGAAUACCAGAAAUAAAACAAAACAAAGGAUUUGGCUUGCAGAAUAAGCCAGAACAAACAUAUGAUAGAUCCCAUAUCAUAUCAUGUGUCUGUUGGAAAGAUGUCCUAUGAGCUACUUGAAUUCCCACCUAUAAAACUCCCGAAACUUUCUGGUUAUGCAAUCUGGUGUUAGGGAUACAGGGGAAGCAAUAUAUCUCACCCAAACUAACAAUACCUACAUCCAAGCUGUAUCCAUCUGUCAACACAUAACCAAGAAACCUUCGGAAAUCGUGUACCUCAACCUUCGAAAAGCAUCCGUUAUACGAGUUAUGGCAAUACUCCCGAGCUCGCCCCAGUACUGGGUUAUCAGGGUUAUCUCACCAACAACUGCAUAAAAGAGAUUUUCGAUGUCGGCAAAACUCAGGUAUUCCAGAACUGCAACGAUAAAAUUGUGACGACAACACCUCAGAGCUCGACUCCCCGGGUCAAAGCCACAUAAAUAGACAGGAGGCACCAAGAACAAUGUUCUCGUCACAAAACCAUCGGAACGAUUCCAAGAUACCCGCGUGAUCCUAAAAAAAAUUAGUGAAAUUUGAGGAGAGGAAAGACAAAACAUCUACGUCAGGAGACCUCACCAGAGCGACGAAGGGACUGAGGAGUAAAAAGAAUCCUACUCUCCGAUAUAUAUAAUCCUAAGACUCAAAAUAGUUUUCUUCUAGACUCAACAACGGCCAACAAACAAGGGGGCUCCUAGGGUCGGUCGAGGCUCUGAUACCAACUUGUCACGCCCAAUAUGCGACCCUAUCCAAAAGGAACUCGAAGGUCCCACCAAGGAUAGACCUGCAUAUUGAAACGCUUUUGCAAGGUGGAUAUCAUUACAUCAACAUUACAUAAUAGAUGGGGAUACAUACAUAAGGCAUACAAUGCCACACGAAUACAACAAUAUAUCAUACACAAUAUCAACAUCCGUCUACGGAUAAAACACAAACAGAAGCUCAAACGACAUCCACCCUGCUAGCCCAGGCUGCCGACCUGGAACCUAUCCCUGAUCGAAGAAGGAGAAGAAGAACUCAACGCAAGCAAGCAUCGCUCUCGCGUCAUGAUCAUCGCAUAACCUGUACCUGCAACUGUUGUUGUAGUAAUCUGUGAGCCACGAGGACUCAGCAAUCCCAUUACCAUGGGUAUCAAGACUAGCAAAGCUUAAUGGGAAAGAAAGGGGUAAAGUGGUGAGGCUGCAGCAGCGACUAAGCAUAUAUGGUGGCUAACAUACGCAAAUAAGAGCGAGAAGAGAACAAGCGGAACGGUCGUGAAGCUAGCAAUGAUCAAGAAGUGAUCCUGAACUCCUACUUACGUCAAUCAUAACCCGGAAACCGUGUUCACUUCCCGGACUCCGCCGAGAAGAGACCAUCACGGCUACACACGCGGUUGAUGCGUUUUAAUUCGGAUCUGGAGUCAAGUUAUCUACAACCGGACAUUAACAAAUUCCCAUCUGCCUAUAACCGUAGGCACGGCUUUCGAAAGAUUAUACCCUGCAGGGGUGUCCCAACUUAGCCCAUGACAAGCUCUCGCGAUCAACGAAGGAAUAGACCUUCUCCCAGGAAGACCCGAUCAGACUCGGAAUCCCGGUUUACAAGACAUUUCGACAAUGGUAAAACAAGACCAGCAAAGCCUCCCGCUAUGCCGACAAAUCCCGAUAGGAGCUGCACAUAUCUCGUUCUCAGGGCACACCNNNNNNNNNNNNNNNNNNNNNNNNNNNNNNNNNNNNNNNNNNNNNNNNNNNNNNNNNNNNNNNNNNNNNNNNNNNNNNNNNNNNNNNNNNNNNNNNNNNNNNNNNNNNNNNNNNNNNNNNNNNNNNNNNNNNNNNNNNNNNNNNNNNNNNNNNNNNNNNNNNNNNNNNNNNNNNNNNNNNNNNNNNAAAAUAAAGAUGACCCUCGGGCUCCGGAAACCCAAGGGAAAAAGGGCUAGGUGAGGCAAAUGGUAAAACCAAUGUUGGGCCUUGUUGGAGGAGUUUUAUUCAAAGCGAACUGUCAAGGGGGUCCCAUAAAUCACCCGACCGCGUAAGGAACGCAAAAUUCGGGAACAUAACACCGGUAUGACGGAAACUAGGGCGGCAAGAGUGGAACAAAACACUAGGCAAAAGGCCGAGUCUUCCACCCUUUACCAAAUAUAUAGAUGCAUUAAUAAUAUAAAAGAUAUUGUGAUAUCCCAACCAAAAUCCUGUUCACCAUGGAGAAAUCUUCAACUUCACCUGCAACUAGCAACGCUAUAAGAGGGGCUGAGCAAAGCGGUAACAUAGCCAAACAACGGUUUGCAUAGGAAAGGUGUCAAAGGUUAGAGGUUCAUGGCAACAUGGGAUGGCUCGACAAACAGAUGAUAGGUAGCGCAGCAAAGCGAUAGAACGAAGCAACUAGCAUAGCAAUGAUAGUAGUGAGAUCCAGGGUAGCGGUCAUCUUGCCUGAAAUCCCGCAAGGAAGAAGAACGAGUCCAUGAAGUAGACAAACCAACAUAGUCGAACGAAUCCUCACGAACGCAAUGUUACCGGAACUAAGAAGCAACACCGGAAAGAAGCAAACAACAUGGUAAACACACCAGCAUAAUCAUGGCAUGAUGCACAAACAAGUAUGAUGCAUGUCCGGUUUAAUGAGGCAUGGCAUGGCAAAGUGCAACAAACGAUACUACAAGUUAAGUGGAGCUCAAUAUGCAACGAGUUGCAUAUUAACAAAACACCACAUGGACAUAUUUAGUUUAAUCUCGGUUAUGCACCCAACAAUAUUAAAUGUUGAUUAACAUGGCAAGAGGUGAAGCAUAUGAAAAACUACCUAUCUAGACAAGUUUAAAUGAGGCCGGAACAACAAAACAACAAUUCCGAAAAUCCCCAUGUGCAUAAAAUGAAUUUGGUACUGUUCUGUCCUAAACCACAUUUUAAGGUUGUUAAACAGGAAAAUAAAGUGGAUCAUGUUAAUCUAGGCAUUUUUCCACCCUAUUUACAUAUAAAGUUUAAUAAAUUCGGAGCUACGGUUAUUUAGUUAUGAAUUAAAGCAUUUUAGCAUGGCAUAUUAGCAAAUGUAAAUAAACAACAGUUUAACCAUUUUAAACAUGGGUGAAAAUGGCAUAUUAUUAAUCUACACAAUUUUCUGAGCAUCUUACAUAUAAAGUUUGUUUAAAUCUGAUGCACGGUUAAUUAGUUAUUACAUGCAUGAGGUCUAGGGGGUUUUCUGUAAAACUAAUAAUGCACUGGAUAAUGUCUAAAAUCGCAGGCAGGGAAAAAAAUACAUCGGGCCGAAACUGCAGCCUGGCCCAACAGGAGAAAAAACAAAAGGAGGGGCGCUGGGGGUGGCCUCACCAUGGGCCAAGCCCGAUUGGAAACAGAGGGAGGCCGACUGGGCUUGGGGAGGAGGCUGGCGCGCUGGGCUGCGAAGGGGAGGGGCCGAGGCCCAUGUGGGGAGGUCGGGCCACGAGGCCGGCGGCGUGCUGGAGGGAGCUGGGCUGGGACGGCUUGAGGCCCAUGCACACACGCGUGCACGAGCGGGCGAGGCGACGAGCUCCUCGUUCCUGAACAGGGACGAGGCAGGGUGGCGGCGCAGAUGGCGCCGGCGGCGAGCAGGCUCGAGGGCGGCGGCGGGGCGGAUCCGGCAAGGGCGGGGCCGGCAGAGGCCGGAUCUGGCAGCGGCGGGUCCAUUCCCGGCGACGAACGGCGGCGGGGACGAGUCUUCCGGGCGGAGGCGGACCCGAGCUCGGGCGCGGCCAUGGCAGAGCUCCUGCGGAAGAGAAGGGGUCAGCGGGGGCGCAGGAGAAGUGGAGGAGGAGAAGGGAGAGAUGAGGAGGCAGGGCUCCGGCCUGGCGAAGCUUCGGCGGCGGCGGCGCGCUGCUCCGGCAGGACGAGGAGGUGCUGGGGCGACGAGGGCUCGGGGUCGAGGGGCUCCUCCCCUCGAUCCAGAUCGGGAGCGGGAGGCGUGGGGCGCUCGGGCCCUCGCGGGCUUCAGCGGCGCGGCCUCGGGCCGGGCGGGCCCUGCGGCGCUGAGGGGGAGCGCGGGGAACAGGUCGGGCGGCGGCUGACCGCUCAGGACGUGCCAUGUGGCGGAGGUGGGCUGGAGGGCGCCGGAUUUGGAGGGGGAAGGCGGCGGCGCGGCCCCCGAGGUGGGAGGAGGUGGUGGCUGCGGGGUUAGGGGUGCGGAAAACGAGGAGGAGGGGGGUAGGCUGCCAAAAUUGGAAGGGGAAGGAGUAUAUAAAGGGUAGGGGCUAGGGUUUGAGGGUUUGGGGGCGUUUCGGGGCCUCAGAUCGACAUCGGACGGCUCCGGGCAGAGGGGGGGACUAGGUGGGCUAGUGGGCUGUGUGAGAGAGAGGCUUGGGCCGAGAGGAGAGAAGAGAAGUGUAGCCCGGUGGCAGUUUCGGAGACUGAAACGUCCGACGAUUAAACCGACUAUAUCGCGGUUAUAAAUAUAACGGUUGGGCAGUCAAACGGACUCCAAAUGCGACGAAACUUGACAGGCGGCCUGUCUACACUAUAAUAAGACCGCACGACAAGUUGCAACCCAUUCCGAGAACAUUUUUAUGCCGCUUAUAAAAAUAAUAUUUCGGAGGUGCCGCGGGCGCGUGCGAGUGUGUCUGGACUCCGAACGGACAACGGAGAGAACCGGCGGGACCCGAACGGAUGCAAGUUUUAUGAAAACGAUGUCGAUGCAAUGCGCAUGAUGCUAUGAGAUGAGAUGCAUAACAAGAACAAAAUGCAAAACAACAGACAAACAACCAACCACAGAGGAAAUAACAUAUAGCAUCUCCGGAAAAGGCAAGAGUUGGAGUUACGAAUAUGGAAAGUUGUAUCCGGGGCGUUACAGUUACUCUAUUUAUUUGAAUAAUACCUUCAAUGGUCUUGAACCUAAAAGAAUGGUUUAUUAAAUCUCGGUCGUAGUGAUACACAUUUUCAUGCCAAAAGAUAUAAGAUAGUAAUGAUAGUACCACUUACUUGUGGCACUGCCAUGUAAGUCAUAUUGGUAUAAAACGCAUGAAGAAGCUCCAUGUUGAUGGAUCUUUGGACUCACUCGUUUUUGAAAAGUUUGAGACAUGCGAGCCAUGUCUAUUGGUGUGUACGCAUGAAGGAACUCCAUACAGAUGGAUCGUUUGGACUCACUUGAUUUUGAAUCACUUGAGAUAUGCAAAUCAUACCACAUAGGCAAGAUGACUGAAAAACCUCGGUUUCAGUAAGAUGGAACAAGAUAGCAAUUUAUUGGAAGUAACACACUUUGAUGUGUGCAGUUCAAUAAGUGCUGAGGCAUGCAGUGAAUAUCGUUAUGUUUUACUUCACAGAUGAUUUAAGUAGAUACUGUAUAUUUACUUGAUGAAACACAAGUCUGAACUAUUGAAGGGUUCAAGUAAUUUCAGAGUGAAGUUGAAGGUCAUUGUGACAAGAGGAUAAAAUGUCUAUGAUAUGAUCAUAGAGAUGAGUAUCUGAGUUACGAGCUUUGGCACACAAUUAAGACAUUGUGGAAAUUGUUUCACAAUUAAUACCGCCUGGAACACCAUAGUGUGAUGGUGUGUCCGAACAUCAUAGUUGCACCCUAUUGGAUAUGGUGCGUACCAUGAUAUCUCUUAUCGAAUUACCACUAUCGUUCAUUGGUUAGGCAUUAGAGACAACCGCACUCACUUUAAAUAGGGCACCACGUAAUUCCGUUGAGACGACAUCGUUUGAACUGUGGUUUGGAGAAACCUAAGUUGUCGUUUCUUAAAGGUUUGGGGCUGCGGCGCUUAUGUGGAAAAGUUUCAGGUUGAUAAGCUCGAACCCAAAGCGGAUAAAAUGCAUCUUCAUAGGACACCCAAAACAGUUGGGUAUACCUCCUAAUUCAGAUCCGAAAGCAAUAGGGAUUGUUUCUUGAAUCGGGUCCUUUCUCGAGGAAAGGUUUGUCUCGAGAAUUGAGUGGGAGGAUAGUGGAGACUUGAUGAGGUUAUUGAACCAUCACUUCAACCAGUGUGUAGCAGGGCACAGGAAGUUGUUCCCGUGGCACCUACACCAAUUGAAGUGGAAGCUUAUGAUAUUGAUCAUGAAGCUUCGGAUCAAGUCACUACCGAACCUCGUAGGACGACAAGGACGCGUACUGCUUCGGAGUGGUACGGUGAUCCUGUCUUAAAGGUCAUGUUGCUAGACAACAAUGAACCUACGAGCAAUGGAGAAGCGAUGGUGGGCCCAAAUUCCGACAAAUGGUUAGGAGCCAUGAAAUCCGAGAUAGGAUCCAUGUAUCAGAACAAAGCAUGGACUUUGGUGGACUUGCCCAAUGAUCGGCAAGCCAUUGAGAUAAAUGGAUCUUUAAGAAGAAGACAGACGUGGACGGUAAUGUCACCGUCUAUGAAGCUCGACUUGUGGCGAAGAGUUUUUCACAAGUUCAAGGAGUUUGACUACGAUGAGAUUUUCUCAUCCGUAGCGAUGCUUGAGUCCGUCGGAAUCAUGUUAGCAUUAGCUGCAUUUAUGAAAUCUGGCAGAUCAAAAGUAGUUUCCUUACCAGUUUUCGUGAGGAAAGUUUGUAUGCAAUACAAUCAGAAAGUUUUUGUCGAUCCUAAGGAUGCUAAAAGGUAUGCUAGCUCCAGCGAUCAUUCUAAGGACUGGAGUAAGCAUCUCGGAGUUGGAAUGAGCGCUUUGAUGAGAUGAUCAAAGAUUUUGAGUUUAUACAAAGUUUAUGAGAAACUUGUAUUUCCAAAGAAGUGAGUGGGAGCACUAUAGGAUUUCUGAUGAGUAUAUGUUGUUGACAUAUUGUUGAUCAGAAAUGAUGUAGAAUUUCUGGAAAGCAUAUAGGGUUAUUUGAAAGAUGUUUUUCAAUAGAAAACCUGGAUUAAGCUACUUGAACAUUGAGCAUCGAGAUCUAUAAGGAUAGAUCAAAAUGCUUAAUAAUACUUUCAAAUGAGCACCUACCUUGACAUGAUCUUGAAAGUGUUCAAGAUGGAUCAGUCAAAGAAGGAGUUCUUGCCUGAGUUGUAAGGUACGAAGUUAAAGCUCGACCACAGCAGAAAAGAGAGAAAGGACGAAGGUCGUCCCCUAUGCUUUAAACAUAGGCUCUAUGGUAUGCUAUGCUAAGUACCGCACCUGAUGUGUGCCUUGCCACAUGUCUGGCAAGAGGGUACAAAGGUGAUUAAGGAGUGGAUCACUGGAUAGCGGUCAAAAUUAUCCUUAGAGGAAUAAGGAUUUGUUUCUCGAUUAUGGAGGUGAUAAAGAGUUCGGCGUAAAGGGUUACGACGAUGCAAGCUUUAACACCUAUCCGAAUGACUCUGAGUAGCAAACCGGAUACGUAUAGUGGAGCAACCAUUUGGAAUAGCUCCAAGUGGAGCGUGGAAGCAGCAUUUACAAUAUGACAUAGAGAAUUGCGAUGCACAUACGGAUCUGAAUGUUGCAGACCCGUUGACUAAAACUUCUCUUACAAGCAAAACAUGAUCAAACCCUAGAACUCAUUGAGUCUUAAUCACAUGAUGAUGUGAACUAGUUUAAUGACACUAGUAACUCUUUGGAUGUUGGUCACAUGGCGAUGUGACCUGUGAGUGUUAAUCACAUGGCGAUGUGAACUAGAUUAUUGACUCUAGUGCAAGUGGGAGACUGUUGGAAAUAUGCCCUAGAGGCAAUAAUAAAUUAGUUAUUACUAUAUUUCCUUGUUCACGAUAAUCGUUUAUUAUCCAUGCUAUAAUUGUAUUGAUAGGAAACUCAGAUACAUGUGUGGGUACAUAGACAACACCAUGUCCCUAGUAAGCCUCUAGUUGACUAGCUCGUUGAUCAAUAGAUGGUUACGGUUUCCUAACCAUGGACAUCGGAUGUCGUUGAUAACGGGAUCACAUCAUUAGCAGAAUGAUGUGAUGGACAAGACCCAAUCCUAAGCCUAGCACAAAGAUCGUAGUUCAUAUGCUAAAGCUUUUCUAAUGUCAAGUAUCAUUUCCUUAGACCAUGAGAUUGUGCAACUCCCGGAUACCGUAGGAAUGCUUUGGGUGUACCAAACGUCACAACGUAACUGAGUGGCUAUAAAGGUGCACUACAGGUAUCUCCGAAAGUGUCUGUUGGGCUGGCACGAAUCGAGACUGGGAUUUGUCACUCCAUGUAAACGGAGAGGUAUCUCCGGGCCCACUCGGUAGGACAUCAUCAUAAGGUGCACAAUGUGACCAAGGGGUUGAUCACGGGAUGAUGUGUUACGGAACGGGUAAAGAGACUUGCCGGUAACGAGAUUUAACAAGGUAUCGGUAUACCGACGAUCGAAUCUCGGGCAAGUAUAAUACCGCUAGACAAAGGGAAUUGUAUACGGGAUUGAUUGAGUCCUUGACAUCGUGGUUCAUCCGAUGAGAUCAUCGUGGAACAUGUGGGAGCCAACAUGGGUACCCAGAUCCCGCUGUUGGUUAUUGACCGGAGAACGUCUCGGUCAUGUCUGCAUGGUUCCCGAACCCGUAGGGUCUACACACUUAAGGUUCGAUGACGCUAGGGUUAUAAAGGAAGUUUGUAUGUGGUUACCGAAUGUUUUUCGGAGUCCCGGAUGAGAUCUCGGACGUCACGAGGAGUUCCGGAAUGGUCCGGAGGUAAAGAUUUAUAUAUGGGAAAUCCCGUUUUGGUCACCGGAAAAGUUUCGGGUUUUAUCGGUAACGUACCGGGACCACCGGGAGGGUCCCGGGGGUCCACCAAGUGGGGCCACCGGCCCCGGAGGGCUGCAUGGGCCAAGUGUGGGAGGGAACCAGCCCCAGGUGGGCUGGUGCGCCCUCCCACAAGGGCCCAAGGCGCCUAGGGUUUGGGGAGGGGGUGCUUCCACCUAACUUGGGGGGCAAGUUUCCCCCCUCUCCCCCCUUGGCCGCCACCCUUAGAUGGGAUUGGGGCUGCCGCACCCCUUGGGGUGGAAACCCUAGAGGGGGCGCACUGAAGGAAAUAUGCCCUAGAGGCAAUAAUAAAGUUAUUAUUUAUUUCCUUAUAAUCAUGAUAAAUGUUUAUUAUUCAUGCUAGAAUUGUAUUUACCGGCAACAUAAUACAUGUGUGAAUACAUAGACAAACAAAGUGUCACUAGUAUGCCUCUACUUGACUAGCUCGUUAAUCAAAGAUGGUUAUGUUUCCUAACCAUGAACAAUGAGUUGUUAUUUGAUUAACGAGGUCACAUCAUUAGUAGAAUGAUCUGAUUGACACGACCCAUUCCAUUAGCUUAGCACCCGAUCGUUUAGUAUGUUGCUCUUGCUUUCUUCAUGACUUAUACAUGUUCCUAUGACUAUGAGAUUAUGCAACUCCCGUUUACCGGAGGAACACUUUGGGUACUACCAAACGUCACAACGUAACUGGGUGAUUAUAAAGGAGUACUACAGGUGUCUCCAAUGGUCGAUGUUGGGUUGGCGUAUUUCGAGAUUAGGAUUUGUCACUCCGAUUGUCGGAGAGGUGUCUCUGGGCCCUCUUGGUAAUACACAUCACAUAAGCCUUGCAAGCAUUACAACUAAUAUGUUAGUUGUGAGAUGAUGUAUUACGGAACGAGUAAAGAGACUUGCCGGUAACGAGAUUGAACUAGGUAUUGGAUACCAACGAUCGAAUCUCGGGCAAGUAACAUACCGAUGACAAAGGGAACAACGUAUGUUGUUAUGCGGUCUGACCGAUAAAGAUCUUCGUAGAAUAUGUAGGAGCCAAUAUGGGCAUCCAGGUCCCGCUAUUGGUUAUUGACCAGAGACGUGUCUCGGUCAUGUCUACAUUGUUCUCGAACCCGUAGGGUCCGCACGCUUAAGGUUACGAUGACAGUUAUAUUAUGAGUUUAUGCAUUUUGAUGUACCGAAGGUUGUUCGGAGUCCCGGAUGUGAUCACGGACAUGACGAGGAGUCUCGAAAUGGUCGAGACAUAAAGAUUGAUAUAUUGGAAGCCUAUGUUUGGACAUCAGAAGUGUUCCGGGUGAAAUCGGGAUUUUACCGGGUUACCGGGAGGUUACCGGAACCCCCCGGGAGCCAUAUGGGCCUUCAUGGGCCUUAGUGGAAAGGAGAAAGGGGCAGCCCAAGGGGGCUGCGCGCCUCCCCCCUUCCCCUAGUCCUAUUAGGACUAGGAGAGGUGGCCGGCCACCCCUCUCCCUCUAUCCCCCUUGGGAAUCCUAGUUGGAAUAGGAUUGGGGGGGGGGGGAGUCCUACUCCCGGUAGGAGUAGGACUCCUCCUGCGCCUCCCUCCUUGGCCGGCGCCUCCUCCCCCCCUUGGCUCCUUUAUAUACUGAGGUAGAGGCACCCCAAAACAGAUAAGUUGACACAAGUUGAUCCACGUGAUCUGUUCCUUAGCCGUGUGCGGUGCCCCCUGCCACCAUAUUCCUCGAUAAUACUGUAGCGGAGUUUAGGCGAAGCCCUGCUGCUGUAGUUCAUCAAGAUCAUCACCACGCCGUCGUGCUGACGGAACUCUUCCCCGACACUUUGCUGGAUCGGAGUCCGGGGAUCAUCAUCGAGCUGAACGUGUGCUCGAACUCGGAGGUGUCGUAGUUUCGGUGCUUGAUCGGUUGGAUCGUGAAGACGUACGACUACUUCCUCUACGUCGUGUCAUCGCUUCCGCAGUCGGUCUGCGUUGGGUACGUAGACAAUACUCUCCCCCUCGUUGCUAUGCAUCACAUGAUCUUGCGUGUGCGUAGGAAAUUUUUUGAAAUUACUACAUAACCCAACAGUGGCAUCCGAGCCUAGGUUAUUUAUGUUGAUGUUAUAUGCACGAGUAGAACACAAGUGAGUUGUGGACGAUACAAGUCAUACUGCCUACCAGCAUGUCAUACUUUGGUUCGGCGGUAUUGUUGGACGAGACGACCCGGACCAACCUUACGCGUACGCUUACGCGAGACCGGUUCCCUCGACGUGCUUUGCACAGAGAUGGCUUGCGGGCGACUGCCUCUCCAACUUUAGUUGAACCAAGUAUGGCUACGCCCGGUCCUUGCGAAGGUUAAAACGGAGUCUAUUUGACAAACUAUCAUUGUGGUUUUGAUGCGUAGGUGAGAUUGGUUCUUACUUAAGCCCGUAGCAGCCACGUAAAACAUGCAACAACAAAGUAGAGGACGUCUAACUUGUUUUUGCAGGGCAUGUUGUGAUGUGAUAUGGUCAAGGCAUGAUGCUGAAUUUUAUUGUAUGAGAUGAUCAUGUUUUGUAACCGAGUUAUCGGCAACUGGCAGGAGCCAUAUGGUUGUCGCUUUAUUGUAUGCAAUGCAAUCGCGAUGUAAUGCUUUACUUUAUUACUAAACGUUGGUGAUAGUCGUGGAAGCAUAAGAUUGGCGAGACGACAACGAUGCUACGAUGGAGAUCAGGGUGUCGCGCCGGUGACGAUGGUGAUCAUGACGGUGCUUCGGAGAUGGAGAUCGCAGGCACAAGAUGAUGAUGGCCAUAUCAUAUCACUUAUAUUGAUUGCAUGUGAUGUUUAUCUUUUUAUGCAUCUUAUCUUUCUUUGAUUGACGGUAGCAUUAUAAGAUGAUCUCUCACUAAAUUAUCAAGAAGUGUUCUCCCUGAGUAUGCACCGUUGCCAAAGUUCGUCGUGCCCAGACACCACGUGAUGAUCGGGUGUGAUAAGCUCUACGUCCAUCUACAACGGGUGCAAGCCAGUUUUGCACACGCAGAAUACUCAGGUUAAACUUGACGAGCCUAGCAUAUGCAGAUAUGGCCUCGGAACACGGAGACCGAAAGGUCGAGCGUGAAUCAUAUAGUAGAUAUGAUCAACAUAACGAUGUUCACCAUUGAAAACUACUCCAUCUCACGUGAUGAUCGGUCAUGGUUUAGUUGAUUUGGAUCACGUGAUCACUUAGAGGAUUAGAGGGAUGUCUAUCUAAGUGGGAGUUCUUAAGUAAUAUGAUUAAUUGAACUUAAAUUUAUCAUGAACUUAGUCCUGGUAGUAUUUUGCAAAUUAUAGAUCAAUAGCUCGCGUUGUUGCUUCCCUGUGUUUAUUUUGAUAUGUUCCUAGAGAAAAUUGUGUUGAAAGAUGUUAGUAGCAAUGAUGCGGAUUGGAUCCGUGAUCUGAGGAUUAUCCUCAUUGCUGCACAGAAGAAUUAUGUCCUUGAUGCACCGCUAGGUAACAGACCUAUUGCAGGAGCAGAUGCAAACGUUAUGAACGUUUAGCUAGCUCAAUAUGAUGACUACUUGAUAGUUUAAGUGCACCAUGCUUAACGGCUUAGAAUCGGGACUUCAAAGACGUUUUGAACGUCAUGGACCAUAUGAGAUGUUCCAGGAGUUGAAGUUAAUAUUUCAAGCAAAUACCCGAGUUGUGAGAUAUGAAGUCUCCAACAAAUUCUAUAGCUAAAAGAUGGAGGAGAAUCGCUCAACUAGUGAGCAUGUGCUCAGAUUGUCUGGGUACUACAAUCGCUUGAAUCAAGUGGGAGUUAAUCUUCCAGAUAAGAUAGUGAUUGACAGAAUUCUCUAGUCACCAUCACCAAGUUAGUAGAACUUCGUGAUGAACUAUAAUAUGCAAGGGAUAACGGAAACAACUCCCAAGCUCUUCGUGAUGAUGAAAUCAAUGAAGGUAGAAAUCAAGAAAAACAUCAAGUGUUGAUGGUUGAUAAGACCACUAGUUUCAAGAAAAGGGCAAAGGGAAGAAGGGGAACUUCAAGAAGAACGACAAGCAAGUUGCUGCUCAAGUGAAGAAGCCCAAGUCUGGUCCUAAGCCUGAGACUAAGUGCUUCUACUGCAAAGGGACUGGUCACCGGAAACGGAACCACCCCAAGUGAUUGGCGGAUAAGAAGGAUGGCAAAGUGAACAUAAGUAUAUUUGAUAUACAUGUUAUUGAUGUGUACUUUACUAGUGUUUAUAGCAAACCCUAAGUAUUUGAUACUAGUUCAGUUGCUAAGACUAGUAACUCGAAACGGGAGUUGCAGAAUAAACAGAGACUAGUUAAGGGUGAAGUGACGAUGUGUGUUGGAAGUGGUUCCAAGAUUGAUAUGAUCAUCAUCGCACACUCCCUAUAAUUUCGGGAUUAGUGUUGAAACUAAAUAAGUGUUAUUUGGUGUUUGCGUUGAGCAUGAAUAUGAUUUGAUCAUGUUUAUUGUAAUACGGUUAUUCAUUUAAGUAAAAGAAUAAAUUGUUGUUCUGUUUACAUGAAUAAAACUUUAUAUGGUUACACACCCAAUGAAAAUAGUUCAUUGGAUCUCGAUCUUAGUGAUACACAUAUUCAUAAUAUUGAAACCAAAAGAUGUAAAGUUAAUAAUGAUAGUGCAACUUAUUUAUGGCACUGCCGUUUAGGUCAUAUUGGUGUAAAGCGCAUGAAGAAACUCCAUGCUGAUGGGAUUUUGGAAUCACUUGAUUAUGAAUCACUUGAUGCUUGCGAACCAUGCCUUAUGGGCAAGAUUACUAAAACGCCGUUCUCCGGAACAAUGAAGCAAGCAACAGAUUUGUUGGAAAUCAUACAUACCGAUGUAUGUGGUCCGAUGAAUAUUAAGGCUUACAGCAGGUAUCAUUAUUUUCUGACCUUCACAAGAUGAUUUGAGCAGAUAUGGGGAUAUCUACUUGAUGAAACAUAAGUCUAAAAUAAUUGAAAGGUUCAAAGAAUUUCAGAGUGAAGUGGAAAAAUCAUCGUAACAAGAAAAAUAAAGUUUCUGCGAUCUGAUCACGGAGACGAAUAUUUGAGUCACGAGUUUGGUCUUCAAUUAAAACAAUGUGGAAUAGUUUCAUAGCUCACGCCACCUGGAACACCACAAUGUUAUGGUGUGUCCGAACGUCGUAACCGCGCUUUAUUGGAUAUGGUGCGAUCUAUGAUGUCUCUUAUUGAUUUACCAUUGUCGUUUUGGGGUUAUGCAUUAGAGACAGCUGCAUUCACGUUAAAAGGGCACCAUCUAAAUCCGUUGAGAUGACACUAUAUGAACUGUGGUUUAGCAAGAAACCCAAGUUGUCGUUUCUUAAAGUUUGGGGCUGCGAUGCUUAUGUGGAAAAGUUUCAUCCUGAUAAGCUCGAACCCAAAUCGGAGAAGUGCGUCUUCAUAGAAUACCCAAAGGAAAUUGUUGGGUACACCUUCUAUCACAGAUCCGGAGGCAAGAUAUUCGUUGCUAAAAAUGGAUCCUUUCUGGAGAAGGAGUUUCUCUCGAAAGAAGUGAGUGGGAGGAAAGUAGAACUUGAUGAGGUAACUGUACCUGCUCCCUUACUGGAAAGUAGUUCAUCACAGAAAACUGUUUCAGUGACACCUACACCAGUUAGUGAGGAAGCCAAUGAUAAUGAUCAUGAAACUUCAGAUCAAGAUACUACUAAACCUCGUAGAUCAACCAGAGUAAGAUCCACACGAGAGUGGUACGGUAAUCCUGUUCUGGAAGUCAUGCUACUAGAUCAUGAUGAACCUACGAACUAUGAAGAAGCGAUGGUGAGCCCAGAUUCCGCAAAGUGGCUUGAAGCCAUGAAAUCUGAAAUGGGAUCCAUGUAUGAGAACAAAGUAUGGACUUUGGUUGACUUGCCCGAUGAUCGGCAAGCAAUUGAGAAUAAAUGGAUUUUUAAGAAGAAGACUGACGCUGAUGGUAAUGUUACUGUCUACAAAGCUCGACUUGUCGCAAAAGGUUUUCGGCAAGUUCAAGGGAUUGACUACGAUGAGACCUUCUCACCCGUAGCGAUGCUUAAGUCUGUCCGAAUCAUGUUAGCAAUUGCCGUAUUUUAUGAAAUCCGGCAAAUGGAUAGACAAAACUGCAUUCCUUAAUGGAUUUAUUAAAGAAGAGUUGUAUAUGAUACAACCAGAAGGUUUUGACAAUCCUAAAGGUGCUAACAAAAUAUGCAAGCUCCAGCGAUCCAUCUAUGGACUGGUGCAAGCAUCUCGGAGUUGGAAUAUACGCUUUGAUAAGUUGAUCAAAGCAUAUAAGUUUUAUAUAGACUUGCGGUGAAGCCUGUAUUUACAAGAAAGUGAGUGGGAGCACUACAACAUUUCUGAUAAGUAUAUGUGAAUGACAUAUUGUUGAUCGGAAAUAAUGUAGAAUUAUUCUGUAAAGCAUAAAAGGAGUGUUUGAAAGGAGUUUUUCAUAGAAAGACUUCGGUCAAGCUGCUUACAUAUUGAGCUUCAAGAUCUAUAGGGAUAGAUCAAGACGCUUGAUAAAUUUUUCAAUGAGUACAUACCUUGACAAGAUUUUGAAGUAGUUCAAAAUGGAGCAGUCAAAGAAAGAGUUCUUGCCUGUAUUACAAUGUGUGAAGUUGAGUAAGACUCAAAGCCCGACCACGGCAGAAAAUAGAAAGAGAAUAAAAGUCAUUCCCUAUGCCUCAGUCAUAGGUUCUAUAAAGUAUGCCAUGCUGUAUACCAGAUCUAUUAUAUGCCCUACCACUAAGUUUGGCAAGGGAGUACAAUAGUGAUCUAGGAGUAGAUCACUGGACAUUGGUCAAAAUUAUCCUUAGUGAAAUAAGGAAAUAUUUCUCGAUUAUGGAGGUGACAAAAGGUUCGUCGUAAAAAGGUUACGUCGAUGCAAGUUUUGACACAGAUCUGGAUGACUCUAAGUCUUGAUCUAGAUACAUAUUGAAAGUGGGAGCAAUAAGCUAGAGUAGCUCCGUGCAGAGCAUUGUUGACAUAGAAAUUCGCAAAAUACUUACGGAUCUGAAUGUGACAGACCCGUUGACUAAAUUAUCUCACAAGCAAAACAUGAUCACACCUUAGUACUCUUUGGGUGUUAAUCACAUAAAUGAUGUGAACUAGAUUAUUGACUCUAGUAAACCCUUUUGGGUGUUGAUCACAUAUCGAUGUGAACUAUGGGUGUUAAUCACAUGGUGAUAUGAACUAUUGCUGUUAAAUCACAUGGCGAUGUGAACUAGAUUAUUGACUCUAGUGCAAGUGGGAGACUGAAGGAAAUAUGCCCUAGAGGCAAUAAUAAAGUUAUUAUUUAUUUCCUUAUAAUCAUGAUAAAUGUUUAUUAUUCAUGCUAGAAUUGUAUUUACCGGAAACAUAAUACAUGUGUGAAUACAUAGACAAACAAAGUGUCACUAGUAUGCCUCUACUUGACUGGCUCGUUAAUCAAAGAUGGUUAUGUUUCCUAACCAUGAACAAUGAGUUGUUAUUUGAUUAACGAGGUCACAUCAUUAGUAGAAUGAUCUGAUUGACAUGACCCAUUCCAUUAGCUUAGCACCCGAUCAUUUAGUAUGUUGCUAUUGCUUUCUUCAUGACUUAUACAUGUUCCUAUGACUAUGAGAUUAUGCAACUCCCGUUUACCGGAGGAACACUUUGGGUACUACCAAACGUCACAACGUAACUGGGUGAUUAUAAAGGAGUACUACAGGUGUCUCCAAUGGUCGAUGUUGGGUUGGCGUAUUUCGAGAUUAGGAUUUGUCACUCCGAUUGUCGGAGAGGUGUCUCUGGGCCCUCUCGGUAAUACACAUCACAUAAGCCUUGCAAGCAUUACAACUAAUAUGUUAGUUGUGAGAUGAUGUAUUACGGAACGAGUAAAGAGACUUGCCGGUAACGAGAUUGAACUAGGUAUUGGAUACCGACGAUCGAAUCUCGGGCAAGUAACAUACCGAUGACAAAGGGAACAACGUAUGUUGUUAUGCGGUCUGACCGAUAAAGAUCUUCGUAGAAUAUGUAGGAGCCAAUAUGGGCAUCCAGGUCCCGCUAUUGGUUAUUGACCAGAGACGUGUCUCGGUCAUGUCUACAUUGUUCUCGAACCCGUAGGGUCCGCACGCUUAAGGUUACGAUGACAGUUAUAUUAUGAGUUUAUGCAUUUUGAUGUACCGAAGGUUGUUCGGAGUCCCGGAUGUGAUCACGGAGAUGACGAGGAGUCUCGAAAUGGUCGAGACAUAAAGAUUGAUAUAUUGGAAGCCUAUGUUUGGACAUCGGAAGUGUUCCGGGUGAAAUCGGGAUUUUACCGGGUUACCGGGAGGUUACCGGAACCCCCCGGGAGCCAUAUGGGCCUUCAUGGGCCUUAGUGGAAAGGAGAAAGGGGCAGCCCAAGGGGGCUGCGCGCCUCCCCCCUUCCCCUAGUCCUAUUAGGACUAGGAGAGGUGGCCGGCCACCCCUCUCCCUCUUUCCCCCUUGGGAAUCCUAGUUGAAAUAGGAUUGGGGGGGAGUCCUACUCCCGGUAGGAGUAGGACUCCUCCUGCACCUCCCUCCCUGGCCGGCGCCUCCUCCCCCCUUGGCUCCUUUAUAUACUGAGGUAGAGGCACCCCAAAACAGAUAAGUUGACACAAGUUGAUCCACGUGAUCUGUUCCUUAGCCGUGUGCGGUGCCCCCUGCCACCAUAUUCCUCGAUAAUACUGUAGCAGAGUUUAGGCGAAGCCCUGCUGCUGUAGUUCAUCAAGAUCGUCACCACGCCGUCGUGCUGACGGAACUCUUCCCCGACACUUUGCUGGAUCGGAGUCCGGGGAUCGUCAUCGAGCUGAACGUGUGCUCGAACUCGGAGGUGCCGUAGUUUCGGUGCUUGAUCGGUUGGAUCGUGAAGACGUACGACUACUUCCUCUACGUCGUGUCAUCGCUUCCGCAGUCGGUCUGCGUUGGGUACGUAGACAAUACUCUCCCCCUCGUUGCUAUGCAUCACAUGAUCUUGCGUGUGCGUAGGAAUUUUUUUAAAAUUACUACAUAACCCAACACGCACCCCCUUCCCUCUCCCCUAUAUAUACUUGAGGGUUUUGGGGCUGCCAACACAUGAGUUUUGACCUCUCCCUGGCGCAGCCCUACCUCUCUCCCUUCUCCUCUCCCGCGGUGCUUGGCGAAGCUCUGCAUGAUUGCCACGCUCCUCCACCACCACCACACCAUUGUGCUGCUGCUGGACGGAGUCUUCCUGAACCUCUCCCUCCCUCCUUGCUGGAUCAAGGCGUGGGAGACGUCAUCGGGCUGUACGUGUGUUGAACGCGGAGGUGCCGUCCAUUCGGCACUAGGAUCUCCGGUGAUUUGAAUCACGACGAGUACGACUCCUUCAACCCCGUUCUCAUGAAAGCUUCCGCUUAGCGAUCUACAAGGGUAUGUAGAUGCACUCUCCUUCCCCUCGUUGCUGGUUUCUCCAUAGAUAGAUCUUGGUGACACGUAGGAAAAUUUUAAAUUUCUGCUACGUUCCCCAACACAUAUAACACAUAUUUAAUUCCUCAAAUCGAUGACCUAGAACUACGCGAAUGACUUAUUCACCUAGACGGAGGUAGUAGCACUGCUCAUUGUUGUGUGUGCAGUUCUACACUCAUGAGUUAAUAAAGAACCCCCUUUGCCGAAAAAUAAAACCAGACUGCUCAAAUAUUUAUCUUCAUUAAUGCUUGAAGCAACUUACACGCUAUGUUGCACGUAUACUUGGAUACGUAUCGGAUACACGAUACGAGGAUACGCCCGAUACGCCAAUUUUCUGAAAACAUGGAUACAACGAUACGUUUAUAUAUAGAUAUUACAUAUAUUAAUUAUUAAAAAUAUUGAAAAUAAAAUAGAGCUUCUAGGUCAAAGCAUGCCUCAAUAGGAUUAUUAUUCCCUUUGUUUUCUUGCGCUUGGUCCACUUUCAUUAAUUAGCAAUGGGAGUUUUCCGGGUUUGUUAUUCCAAUCAGUGCAUCUACUCUCUCUUGGUCACCUCUCAAUUGAACAAGAAUAUUGACAAUAAUGGUUUGGCAUAAACUCACACCCAUGUUGGGUAUCUUCAAAAGGUAUGCCUUUACUAUUGAGGGGAUUUCACGUCAAACGAGGGGUUUCAGGUAUCCAAAAAGUAUCGCAGAAGUAUCCUAGGAGUAUCAAACAUUAUUUUCUUUUUUAAAAAUCAAAAAAUCAAGGGAUACUUACGGGAUACGUAUCGGGCUGUAUCGGGGCAGUAUCCGAGUAUUGGGGCAGUAUCGAGCUGGAUACGUGCGCUUUCUGAAGUAUCCGCGCAACAUAGCUUACACACGAAAUACGAGCUUAAAACAGGGACUAAACACUCAUAUAGUACCUCAAACAGUUUAUACUAAAGACCCUCCUUUCUUCUCACGAAGUCGAUCAUGAAGCAGACAACACCGGUAUAUACUCGCCGUAAUGGUAGAUUUAUCUUUCACAUAUGAUUUCAUCAAAAUAGAGACAUGCACUCACCGUGACAGUAGAUUUAUUCUUCUGUCUUAUAAGGGCAGAUUAAUUUAUUUCUGAUGUUUCUAGUGCUGGUUUAGUGAGGCGUACUCGGCAGGGUGCGCGACGAGGUAAGCCUCGACCAUCUUGAGCAGGUCGAGGUACCCCGCGACGAGCGCCGCCUGGUCCUCCGCCGACAGCGCCCCGCUGCCGUCGAGCCUCUCGUACUCCACCCUGAGCUUCGCCACGCAAGCACCCUCCCCGGCCGCCUCGAGCUUCACCUCGGCCACCUGCGACUUGAGCUGGCCGCUCACCUUGCUGCCCUCCAGCACCUCCGUCUUGAUCACGCGGGCCGCGUUGUCGCGCGCCACCAGGCGGGUCCUCAUCAGGCCCGAGCCCGCGAGCUCCGCUGCCGCCGGGCUGAGCGUCAUGGUGGAGACGCUGCCGGGUCCGCCGUCGCCCUCGACGUCCACGGCGUCGAUGAAGCCCGCGCAGGCCUUGGGCAGGGCGGCCGUGUCCUCGCCGGAGAAGACCACCUUCCACAUCCGCUCCGUCGACACCGCCAGGGCGCACUCGUCGGUGAUGACACAGCCGGCGACCAUCUUGUUCUUGUCCGUGUCGGUCACUGGCUCGCUGCACACUAGCGCUGCUGGUAAGUUGUUUCAAACUACUAUUGAAGAGUGACGAGUGAGAGCAAGCAAGGGGGCUGAUUUAUAUAGAGUACUGUAGGUGCAAGAGAAAAUUCACAGCAAGCACAGGGAUUCAUAAAAUAGCAAUUGAUCAACUUGGACCGGAGAUCACAUGGUUGGACUCUUGGUGCAUUCAGGCUGCUAUUUCUUUCCGCAGCUGUUCAAUCUUCUUCCCAUGUGUUCCUGUGCAGAGACUAUUCUCCAGCAUACUUUUUUUUGCGGGUAAACAAAACUUGUAUUACUCAAUUAUCAAGUCCUUACAAUCCUCUAGGACAAUCUUCACAACAUCCUCAGGUCCUGACCCAACCCAUGUCAUGGUCCGACCUUCUAAUCUAGCAAAGCUGGCAAGCCUAUCACUCGCUUUAUUCUGACAGCGAGGGACAUGAGUAAUACAAGAGUGCCUAAGGUUUAACAGAAAUUUAAUUUCACCAACUAAAGAAGCAUAAACUGAACGGUCCAUCACACCACUGGAUAGCAUCUCCACCGCCACCCUCGAAUCCAUCUCGAUUUCAAUGGGAAGAUCAUAUCGUUGAAUUGCAAAAGACAACCCUUCCAUGCAAGCACAUAACUCCGCUUCUAGUGCGUCUCUACACGAGAACAAAGCCCUGCAUGCUUAGAAGACAAUAGUGCCAUCAACAUUCCGCAAUAUCAUCCCAGCUCCCGCGCCACCUUCCGAUGAGUAAGAACCAUCCGUAUUAAGCUUGACCCAACCAUGUUGAGGCGGUUUCCAUGAAGUUUCAGCAACAGGGGCUUGCACUUGUGGUAAGGCUGUUUGUUCAAAAUUAAUGUUGUGCUUUCCCUUUGCCAGGUCCAUAUGGGGGUUUAUUUUGAUGCAGAACAAAAUAUCCAUAUAUUCCUGUAAGAACAGCACCGAGACAACCAUAGGUGGGGCAGGUUUGAAGUGAGUAAUUUCGUUCCGGACAUACCAGCUUCUCCAAAAUAUUAGCAUCACCAUACUUCUCUGAAUAUCAGUUAGAGGAGCUAGGACCUGCAGUUAGCCAUUCCUUCCCAAUGGGUUUCAACGAUUCAAGUGAUGGUACAGACCACAAUUCAGCCAUGGCCAAGUACAAAUCUCGCCCAAACUGGCACUCACAAAUGGAUGGAAAUUGUCCUACUCCUCCAUUCCACAAACUUGACAGCUGCUAGACGUUUCGAGGCCAAUCUUGUGCUUGUUUUUCCAUGUCGGAAGUGAGUCAUUCGACAGUCUCCAAGCAAAAUUACGCAUAGUUGGUGGAAUGCUGCAACUCCAUAUGUACUGCCAACAUUUCCUGCUUCCGUCAGGUGAAAUACUAGACGCCUCCGAGGACCCCCUGUGAGCCUCGUCAAAAGCCAGUGCAUAAGCAGACUUCACAGUAAAAACUCCCAUCUUCCCCGAACCCCAUGCAAUGAUAUCUUCCGCCAGUCUCGGCGAUGCCCUUAUCUUCAACCAUUCCCAACCCUCCAUAAUAGACCUUUCUUCAAAAGGUCAAGGCCGUGACUUAUAGCUUGCCACGAGGAAGAAGCGUUUCCUGAAAACACCGUAUCUACAAGGUUACCAUGAGGAUAAUAUCGAGCUUUCAGAAGUUGGGCACAUAAACUGUCCGGCUUAGACAACAAACGCCAAGCUUGGCGAGGCAACAAUGCUUGAUUGAACAAAUGAAAGUCUCGAAAUCCUGCACCCCCUUUAUCUUUCGGCUGCAUUAGGUAAUCCCAGCCUCUCCAAUGGACCUUCCUUUUACCCUUCCUAGAUCCCCAAUAAAAGUUCCUCACUAUCCGUGUUAAAUCAUCACAAACCGAGAAAGACAGUUUGAAUACACCCAUAAUAUAAGUUGGUAAAGCCUGCGCAACUGACUUAAUCAACACCUCCCUACCUGGCUGUGCUAGGAGCCCAUCUCCCCACUGAAUCAAACGUUUUGUGAGACUAGUUUGGAGGUUUUGAAAACGUCCUUUAGACAUUCUCCCUUCAGGAGUAGGCAGGCCCAGGUAUUUUUCCUCAAACACCAAGCUUGUAACUCCCAACACAUCUCUUACUUGCUCCUGUGUUGUCGCCGGGCAAGCAGCACCAAAAAAUAUAGAACAUUUACUAUAGUUCAAGCUUUGGCCAGUGGCAGAUCCAUACAACUCUAGGGCAGUCUUCACACUCUCCGCUUGGGCACUAGAGGCCUCAAAGAAUAAUAGUGUAUCAUCAGCAGAUAGCAAAUGGGAAAUACCCGGAGCCCUUCUACAGACUUUGACAGGAGUAAUCUCACCCAAGGUCACUUUAUUCUUUAAAAUUGCUGACAAGCCAUCCGCAACAAGAAGGAAUAAGAAUGGUGAUAGAGGGUCACCUUGCCGAAGCCCACGCGUCGGUGCAAAUGAAUCCAAGAGAGUCCCAUUUAAUUCUCCAGCAUACUAUUCUUGUUGUUGAUGUAGACUGGGGCUGGGCUGGGCCAGUAUUAGGUUGAACAUCGCAUAGCUUACCGGACCAACCGGCACACACGCUAGGAGCAACUAAGAGCAUCUCCACUCGCCCCCCCCCCCCAACAGGGUAUUUACUAUUCGCUGCUCGUUGCGUUGAAAUGUCGACCCACCUCACAGGCCAACGACUCGACCGGUGGAUCUAAGCCGGCCCACUAAGAUCGCGACCACAGUGGGAGCAACCGGUUUUGGGAACCUUCUAGAUGGUUUCCAGAAUUGGGUUUUUCUGUUUAUUUUCUUCUACUGGCUUUUCGGGGUUUUUCUGUGUCUUUUUCUCUUCCUUUUUAUUUUUUCUUUUCUUUUAUGUUUAUUAUUUUGUAUAUAAUUUUUUUCUUUUCUUAUCUUUUUUUUAAAAAUCGACAAUUUUAAAUUUUGUUCGUGUUUCCAAAAUAUGUUCUCAUUACACCUUCCGAAAUUUAGAAAUUAUACCGGAUUUCAAUUUUUUGUUCACAUAUUCAAAAAA
This 35429-nucleotide long non-coding RNA is filed under the name Triticum aestivum (bread wheat). RNAcentral's name for it is "long non-coding RNA (TAES_LNC006861)". The record is from RNAcentral. Lineage: Eukaryota; Viridiplantae; Streptophyta; Magnoliopsida; Poales; Poaceae.